This 613-nucleotide ribosomal RNA is filed under the name Leuconostoc sp. RNAcentral describes it as "bacterial SSU rRNA". It matches the Rfam family "Bacterial small subunit ribosomal RNA", at positions 75 to 674 of the family's 1533-position model. Lineage: Bacteria; Bacillati; Bacillota; Bacilli; Lactobacillales; Lactobacillaceae. The record is from RNAcentral.
GGUGCUUGCACCUUUCAAGCGAGUGGCGAACGGGUGAGUAACACGUGGAUAACCUGCCUCAAGGCUGGGGAUAACAUUUGGAAACAGAUGCUAAUACCGAAUAAAACUUAGUAUCGCAUGAUAUCAAGUUAAAAGGCGCUACGGCGUCACCUAGAGAUGGAUCCGCGGUGCAUUAGUUAGUUGGUGGGGUAAAGGCUUACCAAGACGAUGAUGCAUAGCCGAGUUGAGAGACUGAUCGGCCACAUUGGGACUGAGACACGGCCCAAACUCCUACGGGAGGCUGCAGUAGGGAAUCUUCCACAAUGGGCGCAAGCCUGAUGGAGCAACGCCGCGUGUGUGAUGAAGGCUUUCGGGUCGUAAAGCACUGUUGUAUGGGAAGAAAUGCUAAAAUAGGGAAUGAUUUUAGUUUGACGGUACCAUACCAGAAAGGGACGGCUAAAUACGUGCCAGCAGCCGCGGUAAUACGUAUGUCCCGAGCGUUAUCCGGAUUUAUUGGGCGUAAAGCGAGCGCAGACGGUUGAUUAAGUCUGAUGUGAAAGCCCGGAGCUCAACUCCGGAAUGGCAUUGGAAACUGGUUAACUUGAGUGUUGUAGAGGUAAGUGGAACUCCAUGU